GGCUACGUAGCUCAGCUGGUUAGAGCGCAGCACUCAUAAUGCUGAUGUCGCUAGUUCGAAUCUAGCCGUAGCCACCA
RNAcentral lists this transfer RNA (77 nucleotides) under Chromatiaceae bacterium. RNAcentral's name for it is "tRNA-Met". It matches the Rfam family "tRNA". Rfam says of the family: Transfer RNA (tRNA) molecules are approximately 80 nucleotides in length. Their secondary structure includes four short double-helical elements and three loops (D, anti-codon, and T loops). Further hydrogen bonds mediate the characteristic L-shaped molecular structure. tRNAs have two regions of fundamental functional importance: the anti-codon, which is responsible for specific mRNA codon recognition, and the 3' end, to which the tRNAs corresponding amino acid is attached (by aminoacyl-tRNA synthetases). tRNAs cope with the degeneracy of the genetic code in two manners: having more than one tRNA (with a specific anti-codon) for a particular amino acid; and 'wobble' base-pairing, i.e. permitting non-standard base-pairing at the 3rd anti-codon position. The record is from RNAcentral. Lineage: Bacteria; Pseudomonadati; Pseudomonadota; Gammaproteobacteria; Chromatiales; Chromatiaceae.